AUGGUGGCGCAGGUACCCUUGAAAGAAGGAACAGAGGGACAGGCUCACUUGCUUUGCCACAGCUAUCUCCCCUUCCAAGAAACUAAAAGGAAGAAGGGAGAAGGAAGUUACUUCUUCCCACCUUGCUUCCUGUUGCUGUCAACGUCACUCCAGAAUUGGUUCUUCAUGCCGCAGCUGGUUUCAUGCCAACAGGAUCUUCCACACCCUCAGAAUCAGCUUGGCUGCACCCCUGGGAGAAGCCAGCUCCAGCCUGCAGCCUCCCUGUUCCCAGGUGUGGGUCCCUGUUCCAUAGGUCUCCUCCUGCAAACUUUUCAAAUCUGGUAA
This 324-nucleotide long non-coding RNA is filed under the name Canis lupus familiaris (dog). RNAcentral describes it as "lncRNA (ENSCAFG00030023962.1)". The record is from RNAcentral. Lineage: Eukaryota; Metazoa; Chordata; Mammalia; Carnivora; Canidae.